GACAGAGGGUGCAAACGUUGUUCGGAAUUACUGGGCGUAAAGCGAGUGUAGGCGGUUCGGUAAGUCGGAUGUGAAAGCCCCGGGCUCAACCCGGGAAGUGCACUCGAUACUGCCGAGCUAGAGUGUCGGAGAGGUUGGUGGAAUUCUCGGUGUAGAGGUGAAAUUCGUAGAUAUCAAGAGGAACACCUGCGGCGAAGGCGGGUUGCUGGGCCGACACUGACGCUGAGGCGCGAAAGCUAGGGGAGCGAACGGG
This 253-nucleotide ribosomal RNA is filed under the name uncultured bacterium. Its description in RNAcentral is "partial 16S ribosomal RNA". It matches the Rfam family "Bacterial small subunit ribosomal RNA", at positions 524 to 776 of the family's 1533-position model. The record is from RNAcentral.